UACGUAGGGGGCAAGCGUUAUCCGGAAUUAUUGGGCGUAAAGCGUGCGCAGGCGGCACCUCAAGUCUGCUGUCAAAGACCGGGGCUUAACCCCAGAAAGGCAGUGGAAACUGAAGUGCUAGAGUGCAGUAGGGGUAGAGGGAAUUCCCGGUGUAGCGGUGAAAUGCGUAGAGAUCGGGAAGAACAUCGGUGGCGAAAGCGCUCUGCUGGACUGCAACUGACACUCAGGGACGAAAGCUAGGGGAGCGAAUGGG
RNAcentral lists this ribosomal RNA (253 nucleotides) under uncultured bacterium. Its description in RNAcentral is "partial 16S ribosomal RNA". It matches the Rfam family "Bacterial small subunit ribosomal RNA", at positions 524 to 776 of the family's 1533-position model. The record is from RNAcentral.